Molecule: ribosomal RNA, 440 nt
Filed under: uncultured bacterium
Lineage: Bacteria
Description: partial 16S ribosomal RNA
Rfam family: Bacterial small subunit ribosomal RNA
Source: RNAcentral
CCUACGGGAGGCAGCAGUGGGGAAUAUUGCACAAUGGGGGAAACCCUGAUGCAGCGACGCCGCGUGAGUGAAGAAGUAUCUCGGUACGUAAAGCUCUAUCAGCAGGGAAGAAAAUGACGGUACCUGACUAAGAAGCCCCGGCUAACUACGUGCCAGCAGCCGCGGUAAUACGUAGGGGGCAAGCGUUAGCCGGAUUUACUGGGUGUAAAGGGAGCGUAGACGGCGGAACAAGUCAGAAGUGAAAACCCGGGGCUCAACCCUGGGAGUGCUUUUGAAACUGUUUGGCUGGAGUGCAGGAGAGGUAAGCGGAAUUCCUAGUGUAGCGGUGAAAUGCGUAGAUAUUAGGAGGAACACCAGUGGCGAAGGCGGCUUACUGGACUGUAACUGACGUUGAGGCUCGAAAGCGUGGGGAGCAAACAGGAUUAGAUACCCGUGUAGUC